RNAcentral lists this long non-coding RNA (395 nucleotides) under Pongo abelii (Sumatran orangutan). Its description in RNAcentral is "lincRNA". The record is from RNAcentral. Lineage: Eukaryota; Metazoa; Chordata; Mammalia; Primates; Hominidae.
GGAGCAGGUGGAGUGGUGGCGCUGGAUAGCGGUGUACACUUAAAGCAUUCUGGGAAUAUGAAUCCCUUCUGCACCCGGGAUUCACCAGUCCAGCCAUGCAUGGAGCUGGGGAAAGCAGGCCCUGAACUGUCUAGAGAGACUUGGUGGAGGAGGCCACGGCCCGUCUUGUCCCUGCCGGGUCCUGGCCAGGUGUGUGUGCCCCAGCUCGACUCUCGGUGGUCUCCAGGCUGCAGCAGAAGGAAUACCUUGGAACAACUGGAUGUUGUAAAUGUUUCUCAUCUGGCCUUAAAAUCCAUGAAAGCUGGAAAAUGCCAAGGCAUCUGUGCACAUACUGGUGGAUUUUAAUGAGAGUCCUGUGUUUGGAGCACCAGAAAUAAACCAGCUUCAGAAGCAAA